GCACCAUCUUCAUCUGCACACUGGCCCUCUGGACUCAACAAUGCAGAGGUCAGGCAACUGUGACUCAGACCCCUGCAGAGAAAUCUGCUCUUCCAGGAGACACAAUCACCAUCAACUGUAACAGUAACACUGCAGUUGACAAUGACUGUAACAGCAGGUUUUAUUGUGUGUACUGGUUUCAUCAGAAACCUGGAGAAGCUCCUAAACGCCUGAUCUACUGGGCUACUAACUUGCAGUCAGGAACUCCAGCUCAUUUCAGUGGUAGUGGAUCUGGAUCUGACUUCACUCUGACCAUCAGAGGAGUCCAGACUGACCAUGCAGGAGAUUACUACUGUCUAAUGGAUCAUUACAACACUUUCAAAACCUCACCGUACACACUGUUAGAGAGUCGUACAAAACCUCCCUCAGUCAGACUGCACAGAGACUGCACUGCUGCAGCUGGGACCCACUGCAGGUGUUGAGAGGGAGGAUGUGAUACAGCACAACACACCACUCACUCACUUCUGAACACAUUGCAUAUACAAUUCUAUGAGCUACAACUGCGUAGGAAAUCUGGAGAAGCUCCUACACUUCACCCACCUUUUUUUUUGAGCAGGCCAGUGAGAGUGUUGGCAGUAACCUCCACUGGUACCUACAGAAACCUGGAGAAGCUCCUAAACUCCUGAUAUAUGAUGCAUCUACCCGUCAGUCUGGGAUUCCAGAUCGUUUCAGUGGUAGUGGAUAUGGUACAGAAUUUACUCUAAAAAUCACUGGAGUCCAGGCUGAAGAUGCAGGAGAUUACUACUGUCAGCAGGGUUACAGCUGGUUCACACAGUGUUAGAGUGCUGUACAAAAACCUCCCUCAGCUGUAGAGGAACUGCUCUGACUCAAACACAAACUGAUCUGAGAUCAGCUGCACAGCUGCUAAAUCUGCACUCAACUCAUCAACUCCAAAUUACUACAGUACUGAACUGUUUGAUCUUUUAAACUGUCAUCACUGUGUAAUAGAUACUUACAUCUCUACAUAUGUAGCAGGUUAAUGUCUUUCCUUUAAACCAACCCCUGAUAACAUCCUGCUUCUACACUCAGGUUCUGGACAAAGGCAGUAAUAUAUGAACACAUCACUGUGGUGUAUAAGGACAGGUGAUCACUACCUAGUGAACUGGUCUGAGUUACUCUUGAUUCUUUUAAUCAUUUUACUGCUGUUUUUAGCCUGGAGAUCCUGGAAAAGCUGCUGAGGAAAUACUGUGUUAAACUGUCCAGACAGCAACUGGUAUGUGAAUUUAAUUCUUCCCUCUUUUUAGAAUAAAAGAGUUCACUUAAAGUCUUGACAACUGAAUUUCUGGGUCAUUUACGGUGAUGAUGGGACAGACAGUGUGAAAAUCUAGAAUUACUGUUGAAGUGUAGCUGACUAUACCACCCUGGGAAUUUCAGCACAGGGAAAGUGCUAUGCUAAGAAAAAAGGAAUAUAAUUGAAACAUGAAAAAUUUAUUUUAUUAAAGUUGAAGAAAUGAAUGAAUUU
Long non-coding RNA from Electrophorus electricus (electric eel), 1501 nucleotides. RefSeq lists it as uncharacterized. Lineage: Eukaryota; Metazoa; Chordata; Actinopteri; Gymnotiformes; Gymnotidae. The record is from RefSeq and is a predicted model, not a curated record.